GGAGUUAGCCGGUGCUUCUUCUGUGAGUGAUGUCCUUCCUGCCGGCUAUUAACCCGCAGGCCUUCUUCCUCACUGAAAGUGCUUUACAACCCGAAGGCCUUCUUCACACACGCGGCAUGGCUGGAUCAGGGUUGCCCCCAUUGUCCAAUAUUCCCCACUGCUGCCUCCCGUAGGAGUCUGGGCCGUGUCUCAGUCCCAGUGUGGCUGAUCAUCCUCUCAGACCAGCUACGGAUCGUCGCCUUGGUGAGCCGUUACCUCACCAACCAGCUAAUCCGACAUAGGCUCAUCCGAUAGCGCGAGGCCCGAAGGUCCCCCGCUUUCCCCCGUAGGGCGUAUGCGGUAUUAGCCUGGGUUUCCCCAGGUUAUCCCCCACUACCGGGCAGAUUCCUAUGCAUUACUCACCCGUCCGCCGCUCGCCACCAGGGAGCAAGCUCCCCGUGCUGCCGCUCGACUUGCAUGUGUUAGGCCUGCCGCCAGCGUUCAAUCUGAGCCAGAAUCAAACUGUGA
RNAcentral lists this ribosomal RNA (507 nucleotides) under uncultured bacterium. Its description in RNAcentral is "partial 16S ribosomal RNA". The record is from RNAcentral.